Molecule: ribosomal RNA, 188 nt
Filed under: uncultured bacterium
Lineage: Bacteria
Description: partial 16S ribosomal RNA
Rfam family: Bacterial small subunit ribosomal RNA
Source: RNAcentral
GACCACACGAAGCUGGAAUCGCUAGUAAUCGCGGAUCAGAAUGCCGCGGUGAAUACGUUCCCGGGUCUUGUACACACCGCCCGUCACACCAUGGGAGUCAGCAACGCCCGAAGUCAGUGACCCAACCUUUUAGGAGGGAGCUGCCGAAGGCGGGGCAGGUGACUGGGGUGAAGUCGUAACAAGGUAUC